This is an RNA transcript of Elaeis guineensis (African oil palm), 3495 nucleotides long. RefSeq lists it as uncharacterized. Lineage: Eukaryota; Viridiplantae; Streptophyta; Magnoliopsida; Arecales; Arecaceae. The record is from RefSeq and is a predicted model, not a curated record.
CCAUUGUUCUCCUCUCUUUUACUCUCUCUCUCUCUCUCUCCCCCCUCUCUCUUUCUUUUCUUUGAUCCUCCGGCGAGCUUUGAAUAGGGGUUCGUACGUCGGGUCUUGGGCUCGGACUCGAUAUCCCGGCGACGGCGGUUUGAUCGGCGGGAGGUGUUUCCGUUUGGCCUCUAUUGGUUCUUGGUGGAAAUCCAAGUCUUUUCUUGGAUUCUUGAGGAUUUGGUCUUUAUUUUUUGUUUUCUUGAGCGAUUGGAGCUCGGAUUGAUGGUGAUUCUUGAAGAUUGGAGCAUGGAAGGGAUUUGUAAUUCGUUCCUUUAGCUAGUUUUUGGGGAUUGGAAAUCAAGCUUUGAAUCAAACUUUAUUUUCUGUGGUGGUUUAAGUGUUAGGAUUUGGAUGGGGUACAGUAGAGUUUGGAAAUGGAAUGGAAUUCGUGAUAUUUCUGGGUUGGGUAAAAUUUAGGGCUUCUUGCUGUGCCAAAGGAGGUUUAUGUUGAUUUUAUCCUUGUAGAUCGGAUUAAGAGAGACAAGUUUUCUCUUCUUUGCUCGAUUUUCUUUCCUAUUUCGUUCCAGUACUCUUGGAUGGUGGUGGUGGUGGCGGCUUUCUUGAGCGUUUGAAGAAAAGAUGAGUAUAGGAUUGGAUCAGAGUAAUCUGGCUUGGAGGGAUGGAGGAUCGAUCGGAAUGUUCCUCUAGGUUUAAAUUCCAGCGUUGUGGGAGUUGGAAGAUAGGGGAGUUUUAGGUGGCAAGGUGAGAACGUUUAUUGGGCCUGGCGGUUCUGGACCAGGGGACUAGAAAGGGGCAAUUAUUUCACAGGAAGGGUCAAGGGAAAAGUGAUUUUUUCCCCCCAAGUGUAGAUUGGACGACCCUUAAGCUCAGGGAGUCAAGAACUUCUGCAGCAAUGGAUGUGCAGGAUAAAAGUGGAAGACCUAGUCUGAAUCCUCUUCAGAUUCCUGAUAGGAGGAUGUGCAUGGAUAUUAGUACUUCAUCUGCAAUUGGCCAUCAAUUAAAAGAAUCUGGCUCAUCAGGAGAUGAACAUGCAAUCAAGGUAAGGAAACCUUACACAAUAACAAAACAGCGGGAAAGAUGGACAGAAGAAGAACAUGAAAAGUUUCUCGAGGCUUUAAAACUGUAUGGUCGUGCUUGGCGUCGAAUUGAGGAGCACAUAGGCACCAAGACUGCGGUUCAGAUUCGAAGCCAUGCUCAGAAGUUUUUCUCAAAGGUGGUUCGUGAGCCAGGCACUGCGAAGGCUAUUGAGAUUCCCCCUCCUCGACCAAAAAGAAAGCCACUGCACCCAUAUCCUCGUAAAUUGGGCAACUCACCCAGCAAGGGACUUCCUGUUAUGGAGCAGCCAGAAUGGUCUUCACUGCCAGUUCCAUCAGUUUUUGAACCCGAAAAUGGUUCACCAGUAUCAGUUUUAUCUGCAGUAGGAUCGGAUACUACAGGAUCAACAGCCUCGAAUCCAACUCAUGGUUGCACAUCUCCAGCGUUGUCUGCAGCUAGAUCGGAUCUGGUUGGAACAUUAUUGACCGAACAGGAGAAUGGAUGCCAGUCACCUACACCAUCAGUUCAAGAUGAGAAUAGAUCUACAUCACCUGGACCAGCAUCAACUUGUUUAGUUACUGAAGAUAAAUCCCAGAUGGAAGUAGAUUUGAGUUCAAAAGAUGAAACUCCUAAAGAAGGUUCUCAAAUGGAAGUGCAAGCAACUUGCCUGAAGCUAUUCGGAAGGACGGUGUUGGUGACUGAUGCUCAAAAACCAUGCUCUUCUGGUGUUGGGAAUAUGGUACAAUCUCACAAGUCAUUGCCUGCUGUUGAAAGCAGCAGCCACGCUGUAAGCACAGACGUGGAUCUGCAGACCCCAACUAAGCCAGGUCUGCAAACUCCAGACCAAGGAGAUUUUUGGGGUGGUCCAGGUAAAAGUGCACGGAGUCCAUUUAAUGGUGGAAGCUUCCCCAUGUUUUACUGUUUGUCCCCUCAUGGGGAUCUUACGAACUCUACAGAAGCUGCAUGCCCUCCGCCUUGGUGGUGGGCAUUCUAUGGAACUCAACCAACAUUGCCAUUUAUCAAUCCACAAAAUAUGAACCCAGUACAAAUAAUGCCACUAACCUGUAUAGAAGCCUCAGAUGAAAAAGAUAGCCAGAAGGAAGGUUCUUGGACCGACCUUAAUACUUUUGCUUGCAGAGCAGGUACUGGUGAUAAAAAUAGUGAUGAUGUCGACUCACAACAAGGCGUUGAGCAUCUGAAGGAACCAGCACCUACAUUGAGACUAGAGCCAAGUGAGAACUCCGCUUUUGUAUGUCUGAAAAUCAACACAGCAAAAUCUCCUCGGGCAUUUGUGCCAUAUAAAAGGUGUCUAGCUGAAAAACAAGCAAAACAACACUCUCAGAUGGUCAACGAAGAAAGAGAUGGUCAAGCAAUACGAUUGUGUUUGUAGUCAUUUUCUUAACCUCUAUCUCCAUUUUGUUUCUUUGCAGAGAUGGUUUUUGUUUGACAGACGGGGGAGGGAGGGUGUUCGUUGCAGUUGAAGUAACUGCAGGGGGUAUCUGUUGUGAACUAUGAGGAUAUGGUAGAUUGACAGGUGGUUUUGUAGGCAUACCAUCUCUGCUGCUUGUUGUAUCUAAAACAGGCACGGACGGGACUAAGGGCGUGGGAAGCUGGGUCAUACCUUCAGCUGAUGGCAGCAGCAGUCAGCGCAAAUUUUUAUCAUGGCUCAGUGUGGAGCUUAUCAAGAGAGCCACUGUGACUGAUGUUUUGUAAGCUAUAAUUUAGUGCGUGCACGAGUUCCUCUGAGAGAUGCUCUUGGCAAUGGUUUUUGCAGGAAAUUUAGACCAGUAGAACAUUGGGAUUCUGAUUCACAUUGCAGAGAUGUGACUGUUACUCGGAAGCUAGCUGUUUGCCAUCCAGUACGAUAUUUCAUUGAUCUUUUUGCAUAAUAGCUUGUGCAAGACAUCUGAGAGAUUGGCUGUUUCAGGGAAGAUGGAAUGUCGCCCGUGUGAAAGCGCAAAAAGCUUGCCCCUCUCAAUUAGGGUUACGAAAAUACUGAUAGAAUCAUGACAAGAAGCAGUUAAACUGGAUGUCUGAGAAUUUAUGAGCUGAACAGCAUGAGAAAGGAGACGGGAAUGGUUCACGAGUACUUCUCAUCUCGACAGCAGGAUCCCUGUUAGUGAUACCGGAAUAAAUGGGCAGAGAAUUACCACCAGUAAAUUGGAGUGCACCUGAUGGGAAGGUGGUUGAAUGCACCAUGUAAAGGCCAACAAUGCAGCAGGAAUAGGUUCUGUGGAUAGGCACGAGGGAAGGCGAAUAUUCCAUCGUUUGCUGCUUCAGCAGAAGCGAAGGCUGUUAGAACCACAGGAAGGCUAUUGGGAUAAAAAUACUUGACGUUGUCAAGACGCCGGGCGACCAAACUAGUGAACAAGAUGGCAGCCACGAACGUGUAACACAGAUGAUCUGAUAAAUCUAGUAGUUAUGGUGGAAAGCAAGAAAAUAAUUUCAAAAAUUUCA